GACGAACGCUGGCGGCGUGCCUAAUACAUGCAAGUCGAACGAGAGCGACCGGUGCUUGCACUGGUCAAUCUAGUGGCGAACGGGUGAGUAACACGUGGGUAACCUGCCCAUCAGAGGGGGAUAACAUUCGGAAACGGAUGCUAAAACCGCAUAGGUCUUUGAACCGCAUGGUUUGAAGAGGAAAAGAGGCGCAAGCUUCUGCUGAUGGAUGGACCCGCGGUGCAUUAGCUAGUUGGUGAGGUAACGGCUCACCAAGGCCGUGAUGCAUAGCCGACCUGAGAGGGUGACCGGCCACAUUGGGACUGAGACACGGCCCAAGCUCCUACGGGAGGCAGCAGUAGGGAAUCUUCCGCAAUGGACGCAAGUCUGACGGAGCAACGCCGCGUGAGUGAAGAAGGUUUUCGGAUCGUAAAACUCUGUUGUUAGAGAAGAACAAGUGCUAGAGUAACUGUUAGCGCCUUGACGGUAUCU
RNAcentral lists this ribosomal RNA (471 nucleotides) under Granulicatella adiacens. RNAcentral's name for it is "bacterial SSU rRNA". It matches the Rfam family "Bacterial small subunit ribosomal RNA", at positions 28 to 480 of the family's 1533-position model. Lineage: Bacteria; Bacillati; Bacillota; Bacilli; Lactobacillales; Carnobacteriaceae. The record is from RNAcentral.